This 30-nucleotide non-coding RNA is filed under the name Rattus norvegicus (Norway rat). Lineage: Eukaryota; Metazoa; Chordata; Mammalia; Rodentia; Muridae. The record is from RNAcentral.
UCAUCAAUGUGAACAGAUUACUGGAUGUCU